Trichomycterus rosablanca is the source of this 1784-nucleotide RNA transcript. It is a transcript of the gene named heterogeneous nuclear ribonucleoprotein D, with no coding region annotated. NCBI's taxonomy places the organism in Eukaryota, Metazoa, Chordata, Actinopteri, Siluriformes, Trichomycteridae. The record is from RefSeq and is a predicted model, not a curated record. The transcript is spliced from 9 exons.
GCUCCCUCUGCCUCCAUUUUGUGUCAGAGCGCCGGCGAGCUGUUAGUAUUGGUUGUGUUGAUAAAACAGGUCUAAACUAACCAUUUAACCUAUUCAACAAUUCAAUCCAAACAUUUAACCUAAAACCAGAGUCAUAGCUGCUGUUAGUAGAUCUGACGCCGGGUGUUGCUGAUUAGUAAGGUGUGGAGAAGCUGUUAGGGAUCUAGUACGAGGUAAAAAUGUCGGAGGAGCAGAUGAUGGGAGAAGAAGCGAGCAUGAAGAUGGAGGAGGAACAGACCACUGAUGAAGGAGCUGGAGACACAGAGGGAUCCAAGAUCGAUGCGAGUAAAAACGAAGACGAUGAGGGAAAAAUGUUUAUUGGAGGUUUAAGCUGGGACACAACAAAGAAAGACUUAAAAGACUACUUCGCCAAGUUUGGGGAAGUUAUAGACUGCACUUUGAAGCUGGAUCCGAUGACCGGCCGAUCCAGAGGCUUCGGCUUUGUUCUUUUUAAAGAUGCUGAAAGUGUGGAAAAGGUGAUUCAGCAAAAAGAACAUAAACUUAAUGGAAAAGUCAUCGACCCCAAAAAAGCAAAAGCCAUGAAGUCCAAAGAGCCUGUAAAGAAGAUCUUUGUUGGUGGUAUUUCACCAGACACUCCUGAAGAAAAGAUUCGAGAGUACUUCAGUAAUUUUGGAGAGGUGGAGUCUAUUGAGUUGCCAAUGGAAAACAAAACUAACAAAAGGCGAGGUUUCUGUUUUAUUACAUUCAAAGAGGAGGAGCCAGUGAAGAAAAUUAUAGAAAAGAAGUACCAUAACGUCGGUCUCAGCAAGUGUGAAGUCAAGGUGGCCAUGUCCAAGGAGCAGUACCAACAGCAGCAGUGGGGUGGAAGAGGUGGCUAUGCACCCAGAGGUCGCGGUAGAGGAGGUGUUAAUCAGAACUGGAAUCAUGGGUAUGGAAACUAUUGGAAUCAAGGAUAUGGAAAUUAUGGAAACUACGGCUACAGCAAUCAAGGCUAUGGUGGAUACGGGGGCUAUGAUUACUUGGGUUACAACAACUACUACGGAUAUGAUUUACCAGCCAAUGACUUUCCCCUUCAUGUUCUCUGCUCAACCUGCAGACCAGCAGAGUGGGUACGGCAAAUCUCCAAGGCGAGGUGGCCAUCAAAACAGUUACAAGCCUUACUAGUAUGCUACAAGCAUUAACUUCAAAACGUACACACAGCGGGGACUUCCUAGCAGGCCAUGAGCGGACUUCCUGAGUCUCACAGGCCCGCUCAAUGCGGACAGGGUACGAGAGGCGUACGCUCUCGCAUGCUCCCAUUUGGUGGAGGUAUUAUUAGAUGCUAACUAAGAAGAGAGCAACUUUAAUUCAAAGCAGUUGUUUAAUAUGGAGGGUUAAUGACUAAAAAAGUAAAAGUCUACAUUUUAACAUCUGCAGUAGGGUUUGUCUUUACCAACUGUUUGUUAAGGAUUCUGAUCAACAAUUAACUCAGCGUAUGACUCGUAUAAUAUGCGUUACCACAUUCAGAAAGACUUUUUGCUUUGUGUUAAAUUUAUGUGCUAACUUUUGUUUAAGAGUUUGAAAGUAUAAUCUCAGUCAAAUUCCUCAUUUGCAAGUGUUGUGCUUUUGCGUCAUGAAGUAAUGUUUCUAAAAUUAGAAUUUAUAGUAAGUAUUUAUUAGUUUAAAUGAAUAGAGGACAAAUGUCCAUUAUACAAUACAUGUUUUAUAAUAAGCUAGUAUUAUUUUGCUACAGAAAACAUGUAAAAGAUUUAGGAAUACAUUAAAACCAAAUAAAAAAACGUCAA